Cyprinus carpio carpio is the source of this 2039-nucleotide long non-coding RNA. NCBI's taxonomy places the organism in Eukaryota, Metazoa, Chordata, Actinopteri, Cypriniformes, Cyprinidae. The record is from Ensembl.
GCUAUCAAGACCAGAUUAGGCUGGACCCUGCAAGGUCCCACUCAAGAGAUCAAGCAUUGCCUUUCCAGCCAGCAGUGUCUCUUUACUGCUACUUCAAGCUCAUAUACCAACCUGUACAGACAAGUUGAGAAAUUGUGGCAACUAGACGUGCUCCCGUACCGCAGUGAGAAACUCAUUACUCGCUCUAAGCAAGAUCAAGAUGCCCUUGCACUGCUCGAGUCCAAGACUACUAGAAAUUAUAGAGAAGCCGAACUAGCCCUCCUUCAUCAAGCACAAAUCCAUAGUUUCCCAGUUGAGAUGGAUCAUCUUAAGUCAGGAAAACCUCUACCGAUAAACAGUCGUCUCUUGUGUCUUGCCCCAGAGUAUGACAGCAGUACCCACCUCAUCAGAGUUGGUGGUCGUCUCAGACGAACAGAGCAGCUAGACGAAUCCGCCAUACACCCUAUAGUCCUCGAGCCUAAGCAUCACCUAAGCAGACUCAUCAUCCAGGACUUCGAUGAAAUUCUACACCAUCCGGGAGCAGAGAGGGUGUUUGCUGAAAUACGUCGUAAGUACUGGAUACUGAGAGGCCGAGAAGCUAUUCGGCAUCACCAGAGAACGUGCUUAGGCUGUAAACAGUGGAGAGGCCAGCCCAGCAUUCCCAGGAUGGCCGACUUGCCUCUUUCAAGAUUGCGCUUACAUCAACCAGCCUUCUACUCCACUGGAGUGGAUUGUUUUGGCCCUUACCUCAUCAAGAUUGGGCGCAGACAUGAGAAACGAUGGGGUAUCAUAUUUAAGUGUCUGACAACGAGAGCUGUAUACCUGGACCUGCUCUAUCAGAUGGACACAGAUUCAUUCUUAAUGGCCCUCCGAAGAUUCAUCUCCCGCAGGGGCAAGCCAUUUGAGAUCAUCUCUGACCAAGGUACAAACUUCAGAGGUGGUGAGAGAACACUACAAGAAGAUUUUGCUGUGCUCCAUCCUUCCCUCCAUGAAAAAUUAGCCAGCCACCAGAUUAGUUUUAAGUUCAACCCCCCAGGAGCUUCACACUUUGGAGGCUGUUGGGAAAGAGAAAUAAGAUCCCUGAAAUCAGCUCUUUGUUCUACUAUAGGGGAUCAAAUUGUGACCGAGGAAGUACUGCGUACUGUGCUUGUUGAGAUUGAAGGCAUUCUCAAUUCAAAGCCAAUCGGAUAUACGUCCUCAGACAUAGCUGACCUUGACCCAAUCACUCCCAACAUGUUGCUCAUGGGGCGGCCUGACUCAUCCUUGCCACAAGCAGUAUAUCCUGAAUCAGAGUUGCUAAGCAAACGGAGAUGGAGACACAGUCAGCUUCUGGCAGACCAAUUCUGGAGACGUUUCCUCCGUAACUAUCUCCCAGACCUGCAAGUCCGACAGAAGUGGCACAGAGAGGCAGAAAAUCUACAGCCAGGCACAGUUGUCAUGAUUGUUGAUCAUCAAUUACCCCGAGCUCUAUAGCCAGUUGGACAAGUAACAAAAGUGUUUCCUGGAGAAGAUAGGCGAACUCGGACUGCAGAAGUGGAAGUCAAGAAUAAGACCUAUCUUCUUACCAUCACCCGGCUCAUCAGCCUCACAGCUUUACCAGAUUGAGUACUCUGUAGUACUAUCCCUUACCUUCGUGCCUUAUCUAAAUUACACAUUUCCACAGCAAAUGUGGGGGCGGCUGUAGAAAAGACCGGCUAUGUACAGAGCCAUUAGUGCCCCCUUGUGACUUUAAGAGCUAUUGUGUUGAUGACUUUUGGCAUUUCCCUUUAACGAUCCCUUUAACAGUAUUAACAAGACGCAGUUCAGACAUUCUUCGCUGUUGUUCAUGCCGUUGUUGUUUUCUACUGAGUGCGUUCAUAUACAAAACCACUCAUAUUAAGCUACAUUCCAAACUACUCUGUACAACUCUGGCAUACUCUCUGCUGCCUGUACUACAAUCGUUCACUCAACCAAAUUCAAGAACUGUAAAUCCUCUACAAGUCUGAAACCAUUAAAGUGUACUUCGUCUCUGACCCGGACGACUUAUGUCUGCUCAAUUUCCACCAGCACCCACAAUAGUC